CAAUGAAGGAAGCAUGGUAAUGUGCACAGAAAUUGAAUUGGGUCUCUUGGCCUGCUCUCUUUGAUGCCAUUUGAUUUUGAUUUGGGGGUAUGGUUCGCAGCAAAAUAG
Molecule: small nucleolar RNA, 108 nt
Organism: Rhododendron vialii
Lineage: Eukaryota; Viridiplantae; Streptophyta; Magnoliopsida; Ericales; Ericaceae
Product: small nucleolar RNA snoR100
Exons: 1
Source: RefSeq, a predicted model, not a curated record